UACGUAGGCAGCGAGCGUUGUUCGGAAUUACUGGGCGUAAAGCGUGCGCAGGCGGUGAUGUAAGACAGUUGUGAAAUCCCCGGGCUCAACCUGGGAACUGCAUCUGUGACUGCAUCGCUGGAGUACGGUAGAGGGGGAUGGAAUUCCGCGUGUAGCAGUGAAAUGCGUAGAUAUGCGGAGGAACACCGAUGGCGAAGGCAAUCCCCUGGGCCUGUACUGACGCUCAUGCACGAAAGCGUGGGGAGCAAACAGG
RNAcentral lists this ribosomal RNA (253 nucleotides) under uncultured bacterium. RNAcentral's name for it is "partial 16S ribosomal RNA". It matches the Rfam family "Bacterial small subunit ribosomal RNA", at positions 524 to 776 of the family's 1533-position model. The record is from RNAcentral.